CCUACGGGUGGCAGCAGUGGGGAAUAUUGGACAAUGGGCGAAAGCCUGAUCCAGCCAUGCCGCGUGUGUGAAGAAGGCCUUCGGGUUGUAAAGCACUUUCAGUGGGGAAGAAAGCCUUGGGGCUAAUACCCUCGAGGAAGGACAUCACCCACAGAAGAAGCACCGGCUAACUCCGUGCCAGCAGCCGCGGUAAUACGGAGGGUGCGAGCGUUAAUCGGAAUUACUGGGCGUAAAGCGCGCGUAGGCGGUCUGAUAAGCCGGUUGUGAAAGCCCCGGGCUCAACCUGGGAACGGCAUCCGGAAAUGUAAGGCUAGAGUGCAGGAGAGGAAGGUAGAAUUCCCGGUGUAGCGGUGAAAUGCGUAGAGGUCGGGAGGAAUACCAGUGGCGAAGGCGGCCUUCUGGACUGACACUGACGCUGAGGUGCGAAAGCGUGGGUAGCAAACAGGAUUAGAUACCCGUGUAGUC
This 465-nucleotide ribosomal RNA is filed under the name Vreelandella stevensii. RNAcentral's name for it is "partial 16S ribosomal RNA". It matches the Rfam family "Bacterial small subunit ribosomal RNA", at positions 338 to 795 of the family's 1533-position model. Lineage: Bacteria; Pseudomonadati; Pseudomonadota; Gammaproteobacteria; Oceanospirillales; Halomonadaceae. The record is from RNAcentral.